Heterocephalus glaber (naked mole-rat) is the source of this 990-nucleotide non-coding RNA. The record is from RefSeq and is a predicted model, not a curated record. NCBI's taxonomy places the organism in Eukaryota, Metazoa, Chordata, Mammalia, Rodentia, Bathyergidae.
CUUUUCUCCCCAGGCUUCGCCAGAGUCUCCCCGGGCCUGCCUCGCCCGUUCUCAGUGCUGCGGACCGUAUGAGUUACUGUCCGUCGUGGGCUCCAAAGUCCCGGCAGCACUUCGUCUUCGACAUCCCGCUUCCUUCACACGGGGUCGCCCCCGCCAGCCGCCUGGGUUCCAGUUUACUUUUGCCGACGACCUCCUCUGCCUGGCAUGUCCUUCCUCUCAAAUGUCACAUCUGUGAAGCCUCACCUAAAACUCUGUUUCUGAGAUCGACACCUCCAAGAUUAAACUCAUUGGUUAUGCUCCUAAUGUUGGUCUGGGAAUCAGAAACUGAGGACUGCAGACUUACUGCUAGCAUGCCACUAGACCCAGUUCCUCAGCCUCCUCUGUGGGUAGGUGUGCUGAAGGAGAAGACUCAACCAAUGAAAUGUGGACGGAAGAGAUAGACAGCCAGGCCCAUGAUCGCACCCAUCCUGCCCAACCCUCCUUUUGCCACCUGGAUGGUGAUCCCCAGGGAAUCCUUGAAAGUCAUGUGUUGCACAUGACUCUGUCUCUGUCAGUCUAGGUUCCUAAAUGACUGCAUGGAACAGACAUACUCAGACUACUACCACCUCCUCCCCUCCUCCCAUCAGUUGUACUUGAAGUGACUGAGAAGUUGUAUUAAACCACUGAUUUGUAUUAAUACCUUUGUAUUAAACCACUGAUUUUUCCAGGUUUAUCUGUUAUAGUUGCUAGGGCUAUCUUUGCAAGCUGUUUUGUACUCAGUUUCAAAGAGAGCCAAAAUGAUCGGAAAAGCAGGUGAAUUUUUCAAGUGGAUGGCUCUUUUUUAUUGUAAUCCUGCUUUCUGUGCUCCAUCAUGUGUCUCCCUUCCUUUGAUGUUUGAAGACAAUCAUCACACAAUCUGAGGGCAGAAUUUAAAACUAUUCAUCUAUCAAAGAGGCAAAAAAGGUCAGGGAUGAUGCUGCAUGCCUGUAAUCCCAGCCUUUGGGAGGUUGA